CCCCUUUUUAAAGCACUCGUUGGGUCAUUUUCCAGUGACCUACUGAGCCGUCAAGAAAGGGCAGAAUGAAAACACUGCUUUUGGGUGAAGCGGCAAUAUCUUGUGUUGUUUUGCUUCAAUCAGUGGUGUGACAAGA
This 136-nucleotide small nucleolar RNA is filed under the name Procavia capensis (Cape rock hyrax). Lineage: Eukaryota; Metazoa; Chordata; Mammalia; Hyracoidea; Procaviidae. The record is from RNAcentral.